AUACGGAGGAUGCGAGCGUUAUCCGGAUUUAUUGGGUUUAAAGGGUGCGUAGGCUGUGCGUUAAGUCAGGGGUGAAAUGCCGUCGCUCAACGACGGAGCUGCCCUUGAUACUGGCGUGCUGGAGUACGGAUGCCGUUGGAGGAAUGAGUGGUGUAGCGGUGAAAUGCUUAGCUAUCACUCAGAACACCGAUUGCGAAGGCAUCUGACGAAUCCGUCACUGACGCUGAGGCACGAAAGCGUGGGGAUAGAACAGGAUUAGAUACCCUGGUAUUCCACGCCGUAAACGAUGAUGACUAACCGUCGGCGAUAGACAGCCGGUGGCCAAGCGAAAGCGAUAAGUCAUCCACCUGGGGAGUACGUCGGCAACGAUGAAACUCAAAGGAAUUGACGGGG
RNAcentral lists this ribosomal RNA (393 nucleotides) under uncultured bacterium. RNAcentral's name for it is "partial 16S ribosomal RNA". It matches the Rfam family "Bacterial small subunit ribosomal RNA", at positions 523 to 918 of the family's 1533-position model. The record is from RNAcentral.